AACGAACGCUGGCGGCAGGCCUAACACAUGCAAGUCGAACGCUCGUAGCAAUACGAGAGUGGCAGACGGGUGAGUAACACGUGGGAACCUUCCCUAUGGUUCGGAAUAGCUCAGGGAAACUUGGGGUAAUACCGGAUAAGCCCUUCGGGGAAAGGAUUUAUCGCCAUUGGAUGGGCCCGCGUCGGAUUAGCUAGUUGGUGAGGUAACGGCUCACCAAGGCAACGAUCCGUAGCUGGUCUGAGAGGAUGAUCAGCCACACUGGGACUGAGACACGGCCCAGACUCCUACGGGAGGCAGCAGUGGGGAAUAAUUGGACAAUGGGCGGCAAGCCUGAUCCAGCCAUGCCGCGUGAGUGACGAAGGUCUUCGGAUUGUAAAACUCUUUUGGCGGGGACGA
RNAcentral lists this ribosomal RNA (396 nucleotides) under uncultured bacterium. Its description in RNAcentral is "bacterial SSU rRNA". It matches the Rfam family "Bacterial small subunit ribosomal RNA", at positions 29 to 448 of the family's 1533-position model. The record is from RNAcentral.